GGUUUAGUAGUUGAGUGUCUGACCACAAGAGGGCAGAGCGUCUCUGCAGACCCAUGGUAUAGGACAGGCUCUUUUCGGUUGACUUCUAUAGGAGAAGGCUCAAGACAGAAGCAGACGCCUGUGCAGUUUGAAGACCGUUGUGCCUUGGAGCAAAGGAGGAGACAUCUGUGAUAGACAGAGCUCUCUUGGCUUGAGCUCGCAGGUCCUGAUGGACAGAACCAUGAGGACACUUGCAGGACCUUUCUUCCUGUUCUUGUGGCUGCAGCUGCACUGUGUGAGUGGAGGAGAGACGGUGGAGCAGAGUCCUUCUUUCCUGAGUGUCCAGGAGGGAGACGGCUGUGUUAUCAACUGCACUUACACAGAGAGUGCCUCCACCUACUUCAGUUGGUAUAAGCAAGAACCUGGAGCAGGUCUCCAGUUCCUUAUAAACAUUCUCUCAAAUGCGGAUAAGAAAGAAGAGCAAAGGCUCACCGUCCUCAUGAGCAAGAAGGACAAACGUCUCUCCCUGCACAUCGCAGCUGCCCGUCCUGCAGACUCAGCCACCUACUUCUGUGCUGCAAGAGCACAGUGCUCCCCAGGCACCUGCAGCCUCUACUCAAACCCGCAGUGAGGGCUGAAGGCAUCUCAUCUGUUGUUGCUGUUGGCGAUGGGGAUUUUCUGUAGUCUAAUAUAAGGACAUUCUAAAAAAACACUCCGGUGUGAGUAUCACAAAGUUGAAUAUUUGAGAAAAAAGUUGACUGGUUGUGAAAUCACCAAUGAGUAAAAAAUAAAUUAUAGUAAGCAAGUAAAUCAAGUACCUCACUUGAUUUUGGAUCAAUCAAACUAAUUAAAUCUUGAAGUUCUUAGUAAAAAGGUCAAUGUGUAUUAAUUAAGUCACUGAACAGGGAAGGAUU
Molecule: non-coding RNA, 893 nt
Organism: Oryctolagus cuniculus (rabbit)
Lineage: Eukaryota; Metazoa; Chordata; Mammalia; Lagomorpha; Leporidae
Source: the annotation of a RefSeq genome assembly